GAAAUGCGAUAAGUAAUGUGAAUUGCAGAAUUCAGUGAAUCAUCGAAUCUUUGAACGCACAUUGCGCCCCCUGGUAUUCCGGGGGGCAUGCCUGUUCGAGCGUCAUUUCACCACUCAAGCCUCGCUUGGUAUUGGGCGACGCGGUCCGCCGCGCGCCUCAAAUCGACCGGCUGGGUCUUUCGUCCCCUCAGCGUUGUGGAAACUAUUCGCUAAAGGGUGGCGCGGGAGGCCACGCCGUAAAACAACCCCAUUUCUAAGGUUGACCUCGGAUCAGGUAGGGAUACCCGCUGAACUUAAGC
Molecule: unclassified non-coding RNA, 299 nt
Filed under: plant metagenome
Description: partial contains 5.8S ribosomal RNA, internal transcribed spacer 2, and large subunit ribosomal RNA
Rfam family: 5.8S ribosomal RNA (bases 1-105)
Source: RNAcentral